Molecule: non-coding RNA, 469 nt
Organism: Camelina sativa (false flax)
Lineage: Eukaryota; Viridiplantae; Streptophyta; Magnoliopsida; Brassicales; Brassicaceae
Source: RefSeq, a predicted model, not a curated record
AUAAUGUAUAGAAUGAGCAAUUACGGAAGAGAUGUUGUUAUUUGUAUAUUCAUCGAAGACAAUGGGAGAUAGAUUGUACACUACGAAAUGACAAAUUCUAGACUUGAUUUUGUCUCAGAACAGAAGCUCUAAAUUGGAAGUCACAUAGCUUACAGAAUUGAAAGCUCUAUCCUGAGGUUUGAUUGUGAGAUAAUUGUAAACGUGCACACAUCUCUAGCUCUUGUAUAAUUGGACGCCUGGAAAUGUUAUUUUGUAGCUAAAGUUGGUGUAGGCUCUUACUGGAAAAUUAGUUAAUGUCAUGCUAAUGAAAGACAACUGGUUGUUCAAACAAAUUCAGAAACAAGUACCUUGGGAUCAAUGAUCAGAGUCAAGUGGCCUAAACAGAGUUACCUGAGAACGGAUGCAAGCAAUAUCUGGUUCUUCCGCGGAAAGAACAAUACUCAUUAAUUAAUUAAGAGGAUCUUGACAA